GGGGGUGGUUGAGUCCCGGUGGGCUCCACGGUCUUCAAAACCGCUGGAAGGCGUUGAAACGGCUUCGGUGGGUUCGACUCCCAUCCACUCCCG
RNAcentral lists this transfer RNA (93 nucleotides) under Chloroflexota bacterium. Its description in RNAcentral is "Chloroflexi bacterium (groundwater metagenome) tRNA-Sec". It matches the Rfam family "Selenocysteine transfer RNA". The record is from RNAcentral. Lineage: Bacteria; Bacillati; Chloroflexota.